ACUUCAAGUCUUCAAGUCUGUUCAUCCACGGUGUAGCUAGUGCAGCUAAUUAAUAGUUACCCUACAAGUCCUGCAGUCCUGUGAAGCAAGCUGCAGCAGAUGUCAUCACAUUCAGAUCAUCAGUUCAUCUCUACUGCAGCUUUAAACUGUCCCUGAGGUAACGGUGUAUUUCCUUGCCCCAUAACAAUAACCAUGUUUGACAAACAUAGAAAAGCACAGUAUUACUGUUAGCACAGGAUUACAGAGUUAAAGUGAAGAGGAUUUUGUUUGUUUUUUUCAGACCUCUCCUCCUCCUGCCUCUGACUCCAGUGAUGCUGUCAACUCGAACACUGAUAACUGCACACGGCGAUUCUACAACCACAGGUCAAAGGUCAAAACAUUACCUCACUCUAAACCUUCACUCUGAACUGUACCGGCCUCUGCUUUUGGUUUUGAAAAAAACUGCCCAGACAGAACACAGUACUCACUUCAGGAACUGACUGAUUGUCUUCAGGACAGGACAACUAUUACUCUUAUAUUGUUUUGAAUCCUCUUUUCUACAUGAAGUGAUCGGUUCUCGAUAUCUGUUAAUAUUUUAAGUUUCCUUUAUGUUUCUUGGACUUUAUUUGUUCUAUUUUAUUUUAGUAUUUUCUUCCCCUUUUACUGUGUAUCUGUCCUUAUAUCAAAAGAUGACCAACACUGAUGAAGGGAAAAAAUACCACUUACUUCAGUUGUUGCAGGCAGCUGAAUUUCUCAUUUUAAUAUGCUCACCAUAUCCCUCAAAUUUACCUACAAGAGAAGACGUGUUUUUAGAAAUAAAUGAUUUACUUGGGGUUUCAGCUGGUACGUACACUGCAGGUUUUUCACGUGUGCUUAGUCUUGGGCUAAUGUCUUGGACAGCAGUGAUCCCAGCAUUACAGUGUGAAACAAUCCCUGCUGAAGGUUGUCGUCACAAUCAUCAAACACAGGGCUUGGUUAAACAAGCUGUGUGAAUGGAUUUCAUAGAGGAACAAAGUUUUUAUGCUUAUCCUUAAAAUGUCAUUCUCCAUAGUACAUAACUUUUUAAAAAUAAACUAUCAACAUGAAGACAACCCAGCAUUUCAGUAAGACAAGUAGUGUGAAUGUUUGGAUAAGAAAACACUGGGAUCUAAAAUGCUGACCAGAUUGUCAGUCCACUGCAAUGAGCUGAUGACAGUACUAGCCUUGGUCUAAGUACUGUGAAAAGCCUUUUGGGUGGUAAGGUGGACCAAUAGAUGCUAUAAAAAAUACUUCAGUGCCAUAUUUAAGUUGUUAACCUUUCACCUUUGCCUGUAUAUUUCCGUACGCCUGAAUGACUUUGCAUCUUUUGCAUUUGCAUUGUUUACCUUACCCUCCACAUUAUAUUUCAUUUUUCAUUUACAUUUAAUUGAAAAACAAUUAUUUUAAUUUCUGUAAAAUACUUCUGUACCACACUGUACAGUAAACUGCUGAGUUAUUUUUCCAAACAAAAGUGCUGACCAGAUUGUCACUCCACUACAAUGAGCUGAUGACAGUAUUAGCCUUGGUCUACUGUGAAAAGCCUUUUGGUGGUAAGGUGGACCAAUACAUUACAUCAAUUUAUUUCAAGUUCUCAGAUCUACUUUUUAAUCUGAUUAUUUUAGAUUUUGUUUAAAGUUUCAGUUUCACAUCAUUUAAUUUUAUUUAUUAUUAUAAUUAUUUAUUAUUCUAUAAUUUUCUUUUUUUUCUACAUGAGAGGGCCCACAUUUCACUGCAGUUAGCUUUAAAAAAUACUAUAAUGCCAUAUUUAAUUCAAAAGCCUUUCACCUUACUUUGCCUGUAUAUUUGCACAAGCCUGGAUAACUUUUAAUUAUUUCCAUUUGCAUUCUUUACCUUACCCUUCACAUUAUUUUACAUUUUUAUUCACAUUUCAUUUAUUUUUUAAAUUUUAACUUCUCUGAAACAAUUCUGUACUACACUUUACAGUAAACUGCUGGGUUAUUUUUGCAUACUAUUCCUCAUGUUCCAUUCUAUACUUUUUGUGAUUCACAUUUAUGUUGUUAUACUGCUGACCGAUUGUAAUAACUACUUUUUUUUAUAACUCUCAAGUCACCACUUUCAUAUAUCUUUUUUAAUGUAUAGGUAUAAAGGUUUUUCAGAUGUACAAACUUAGUCUUAGGCUAAUCUAAACCCUUAAAAACACGCAUAACAGUCCUGUAUCAGACUUUGAAAUCAAAUGUCAAGGUCUGUUUUUAAAGCCCACAACACAGGACUUGGCUUAAUGGGCCAUGACAAAUUUUAUGAGCCAACUUUUGUUAAGGCUUAGUAAUCUGAAAACACAAGAAAAGAGGUGAAUGUGGGUACAGGGCUGCUGGAGUUUGAAUCCAGUAAAUAAUGGGGUGUUAGCCUCAGUCUAACAACUGUGUGAAGAGCCUUUAAUGAUUGGGCUAAACAAUUUUACAAACAACUGAAAAUGUGAUAACUUUAUCCAUCAACAAUCACAGCAACAACAAUCUUAAAACCUUAAGCUUAAGAGACAGAUUGGUCACCCAUGUAAAGAUUUCUGCUUCCAAAACCUCUUCACAAACAAAUUGUUUAUAAUUUCAUUUAAGCCACUAUGGAAC
Xyrichtys novacula (pearly razorfish) is the source of this 2579-nucleotide non-coding RNA. Lineage: Eukaryota; Metazoa; Chordata; Actinopteri; Labriformes; Labridae. The record is from the annotation of a GenBank genome assembly.